UUCCCGACUCCUACGGGAGGCAGCAGUGGGGAAUAUUGGACAAUGGGGGGAACCCUGAUCCAGCGACGCCGCGUGAGUGAAGAAGUAUUUCGGUAUGUAAAGCUCUAUCAGCAGGGAAGAAAGAAAUGACGGUACCUGACUAAGAAGCCCCGGCUAACUACGUGCCAGCAGCUGCGGGAAUACGUAGGGGGCAAGCGUUAUCCGGAUUUACUGGGUGUAAAGGGAGCGUAGACGGCGGCGCAAGCCAGAUGCGAAAGCCCGGGGCUCAACUCCGGGACUGCAUUUGGAACUGUGUGGCUGGAGUGUCGGAGAGGCAGGCGGAAUUCCUAGUGCAGCGGUGAAAUGCGUAGAUAUUAGGAGGAACACCAGUGGCGAAGGCGGCCUACUGGACGGUGACUGACGCUGAGGCUCGAAAGCGUGGGGAGCAAACAGGAUUAGAUACCCGAGUAC
This 450-nucleotide ribosomal RNA is filed under the name uncultured bacterium. Its description in RNAcentral is "bacterial SSU rRNA". It matches the Rfam family "Bacterial small subunit ribosomal RNA", at positions 329 to 793 of the family's 1533-position model. The record is from RNAcentral.